Dama dama (fallow deer) is the source of this 128-nucleotide small nucleolar RNA. RefSeq annotates it as small nucleolar RNA SNORA57. NCBI's taxonomy places the organism in Eukaryota, Metazoa, Chordata, Mammalia, Artiodactyla, Cervidae. The record is from RefSeq and is a predicted model, not a curated record. The transcript has a single exon.
CCUCCUUUUCUUGGCGGGGGUCGGGCGUGCAGUCCCGAUCCGCGUAAUGUACGGAGGUAGAGGGAACGGGCUCUGGCCCCCUCGGCGUCAUGUCUUCAAUAAAGGCUCAUUUAACCCCCCUCAAAAAA